This 497-nucleotide ribosomal RNA is filed under the name uncultured bacterium. RNAcentral's name for it is "partial 16S ribosomal RNA". It matches the Rfam family "Bacterial small subunit ribosomal RNA", at positions 28 to 507 of the family's 1533-position model. The record is from RNAcentral.
GAUGAACGCUGGCGGCGUGCCUAAUACAUGCAAGUCGAGCGAACGGACGAGAAGCUUGCUUCUCUGAUGUUAGCGGCGGACGGGUGAGUAACACGUGGAUAACCUACCUAUAAGACUUGGAUAACUUCGGGAAACCGGAGCUAAUACCGGAUAAUAUUUUGAACCGCAUUGUUCAAAAGUGAAAGACGGUCUUGCUGUCACUUAUAGAUGGAUCCGCGCUGCAUUAGCUAGUUGGUAAGGUAACGGCUUACCAAGGCAACGAUGCAUAGCCGACCUGAGAGGGGGAUCGGCCACCCUGGAGCUGAGCCGCGGUCCAGACUCCUACGGGAGGCAGCAGUCGGGAAUGUGACGCAGUGGGCGAAAGCCUGACGGAGCAACGCCGCGUGAGUAAUGACGGUCUUCGGAUCGUAAAACUCUGUUAUUAGGGAAGAACAUAUGUGUAAGUAACUGUGCACAUCUUGACGGUACCUAAACAGAAAGCCACGGCUAACUACGUG